GAUGAACGCUGGCGGCGUGCCUAAUACAUGCAAGUCGAGCGAACGGACGAGAAGCUUGCUUCUCUGAUGUUAGCGGCGGACGGGUGAGUAACACGUGGAUAACCUACCUAUAAGACUGGGAUAACUUCGGGAAACCGGAGCUAAUACCGGAUAAUAUUUUGAACCGCAUGGUUCAAAAGUGAAAGACGGUCUUGCUGUCACUUAUAGAUGGAUCCGCGCUGCAUUAGCUAGUUGGUAAGGUAACGGCUUACCAAGGCGACGAUGCAUAGCCGACCUGAGAGGGUGAUCAGCCACACUGGGACUGAGACACGGUCCAGACGCCUACGGGAGGGAGCAGUAGGGAAUCUUGCGCAAUGGGCGAAAGCCUGACGGAGCAACGCCGCGUGAGUGAUGAAGGUCUUCGGAUCGUAAAACUCUGUUAUUAGGGAAGAACAUAUGUGUAAGUAACUGUGCGCAUCUUGACGGUACCUAAUCAGAGAGCCACGGCUAACUACGUG
RNAcentral lists this ribosomal RNA (497 nucleotides) under uncultured bacterium. RNAcentral's name for it is "partial 16S ribosomal RNA". It matches the Rfam family "Bacterial small subunit ribosomal RNA", at positions 28 to 507 of the family's 1533-position model. The record is from RNAcentral.